GCAAGUCGAGCGGACAGAUGGGAGCUUGCUCCCUGAUGUUAGCGGCGGACGGGUGAGUAACACGUGGGUAACCUGCCUGUAAGACUGGGAUAACUCCGGGAAACCGGGGCUAAUACCGGAUGCUUGUUUGAACCGCAUGGUUCAAACAUAAAAGGUGGCUUCGGCUACCACUUACAGAUGGACCCGCGGCGCAUUAGCUAGUUGGUGAGGUAACGGCUCACCAAGGCGACGAUGCGUAGCCGACCUGAGAGGGUGAUCGGCCACACUGGGACUGAGACACGGCCCAGACUCCUACGGGAGGCAGCAGUAGGGAAUCUUCCGCAAUGGACGAAAGUCUGACGGAGCAACGCCGCGUGAGUGAUGAAGGUUUUCGGAUCGUAAAGCUCUGUUGUUAGGGAAGAACAAGUGCCGUUCAAAUAGGGCGGCACCUUGACGGUACCUAACCAGAAAGCCACGGCUAACUACGUGCCAGCAGCCGCGGUAAUACGUAGGUGGCAAGCGUUGUCCGGAAUUAUUGGGCGUAAAGGGCUCGCAGGCGGUUUCUUAAGUCUGAUGUGAAAGCCCCCGGCUCAACCGGGGAGGGUCAUUGGAAACUGGGGAACUUGAGUGCAGAAGAGGAGAGUGGAAUUCCACGUGUAGCGGUGAAAUGCGUAGAGAUGUGGAGGAACACCAGUGGCGAAGGCGAC
This 686-nucleotide ribosomal RNA is filed under the name Bacillus amyloliquefaciens. RNAcentral describes it as "bacterial SSU rRNA". It matches the Rfam family "Bacterial small subunit ribosomal RNA", at positions 57 to 725 of the family's 1533-position model. Lineage: Bacteria; Bacillati; Bacillota; Bacilli; Caryophanales; Bacillaceae. The record is from RNAcentral.